RNAcentral lists this ribosomal RNA (498 nucleotides) under uncultured bacterium. RNAcentral describes it as "partial 16S ribosomal RNA". It matches the Rfam family "Bacterial small subunit ribosomal RNA", at positions 28 to 507 of the family's 1533-position model. The record is from RNAcentral.
GACGAACGCUGGCGGCGUGCCUAAUACAUGCAAGUCGAACGAGAGCGACCGGUGCUUGCACUGGUCAAUCUAGUGGCGAACGGGUGAGUAACACGUGGGUAACCUGCCCAUCAGAGGGGGAUAACAUCCGGAAACGGAUGCUAAAACCGCAUAGGUCUUCGAACCGCAUGGUUUGAAGAGGAAAAGAGGCGCAAGCUUCUGCUGAUGGAUGGACCCGCGGUGCAUUAGCUAGUUGGUGAGGUAACGGCUCACCAAGGCCGUGAUGCAUAGCCGACCUGAGAGGGUGAUCGGCCACAUUGGGACUGAGACACGGCCCAAACUCCUACGGGAGGCAGCAGUAGGAAAUCUUCCGCAAUGGACGCAAGUCUGACGGAGCAACGCCGCGUGAGUGAAGAAGGUUUUCGGAUCGUAAAACUCCGUUGUUAGAGAAGAACAAGUGCUAGAGUAACUGUUAGCGCCUUGACGGUAUCUAACCAGAAAGCCACGGCUAACUACGUG